Molecule: ribosomal RNA, 497 nt
Filed under: uncultured bacterium
Lineage: Bacteria
Description: partial 16S ribosomal RNA
Rfam family: Bacterial small subunit ribosomal RNA
Source: RNAcentral
GAUGAACGCUGGCGGCGUGCCUAAUACAUGCCAGUCGAGCGAACGGACGAGAAGCUUGCUUCUCUGAUGUUAGCGGCGGACGGGUGAGUAACACGUGUAUAACCUACCUAUAAGACUGGGAUAACUUCGGGAAACCGGAUCUAAUACCGGAUAAUAUUUUGAACCGCAUUGUUCAAAAGUGAAAGACGGUCUUGCUGUCACUUAUAGAUGGAUCCGCGCUGCAUUAGCUAGUUGGUAAGGUAACGGCUUACCAAGGCAACGAUGCAUAUCCGAACUGAGAGGGUGAUCGGCGAAACUGGAACGGAGACACGGGACAGACUACUACGGGAGGAAGCAGUAGGGAAUGUUCCGCAAUGGGCGAAAGCAUGACGGAGCAACGCCGCGUGAGUGAUGAAGGUCUUCGGAUCGUAAAACUCUGUUAUUAGGGAAGAACAUAUGUGUAAGUAACUGUGCACAGCUUGACGGUACCUAAUCAGAAAGCCACGGCUAACUACGUG